RNAcentral lists this transfer RNA (88 nucleotides) under Colletotrichum godetiae. RNAcentral describes it as "tRNA-Glu". It matches the Rfam family "tRNA". From Rfam's summary of the family: Transfer RNA (tRNA) molecules are approximately 80 nucleotides in length. RNAcentral also lists the same sequence under 1 other name. Lineage: Eukaryota; Fungi; Ascomycota; Sordariomycetes; Glomerellales; Glomerellaceae. The record is from RNAcentral.
UCCCAUAUAGUCCAGUGGUUAGGAUACUCCGCUUUCAGUCCCCUAGAAACGUUCCGGAGAGACCCGAGUUCGAACCUCGGUGUGGGAA